RNAcentral lists this ribosomal RNA (123 nucleotides) under Disa ovalifolia. RNAcentral's name for it is "partial 18S ribosomal RNA". It matches the Rfam family "Eukaryotic small subunit ribosomal RNA", at positions 1713 to 1831 of the family's 1831-position model. Lineage: Eukaryota; Viridiplantae; Streptophyta; Magnoliopsida; Asparagales; Orchidaceae. The record is from RNAcentral. RNAcentral also lists the same sequence under 2 other names.
GAUUGCUGUGACGUGGGUGGUUCGCCGCCUCCGAUACUGCAAGAAGUUCAUUGAACCUUAUCAUUUAGAGGAAGGAGAAGUCGUAACAAGGUUUCCGUAGGUGAACCUGCGGAAGGAUCAUUG